CUCGUAGGCGGCCAACUAAGUCAGACGUGAAAUCCCCAGGCUCAACCUGGGAACUGCGUCUGAUACUGGAUGGCUUGAAUCCGGGAGAGGGAUGCAGAAUUCCAGGUGUAGCGGUGAAAUGCGUAGAUAUCUGGAGGAAUACCGGUGGCGAAGGCGGCAUCCUGGACCGGCAUUGACGCUGAGGAGCGAAAGCCAGGGAGCAAAC
This 205-nucleotide ribosomal RNA is filed under the name uncultured bacterium. RNAcentral describes it as "partial 16S ribosomal RNA". It matches the Rfam family "Bacterial small subunit ribosomal RNA", at positions 568 to 773 of the family's 1533-position model. The record is from RNAcentral.